Molecule: ribosomal RNA, 440 nt
Filed under: uncultured bacterium
Lineage: Bacteria
Description: partial 16S ribosomal RNA
Rfam family: Bacterial small subunit ribosomal RNA
Source: RNAcentral
CCUACGGGAGGCAGCAGUGGGGAAUAUUGCACAAUGGGGGAAACCCUGAUGCAGCGACGCCGCGUGAGUGAAGAAGUAUUUCGGUACGUAAAGCUCUAUCAGCAGGGAAGAAAAUGACGGUACCUGACUAAGAAGCCCCGGCUAACUACGUGUCAGCAGCCGCGGUAAUACGUAGGGGGCAAGCGUUAUCCGGAUUUACUGGGUGUAAAGGGAGCGUAGACGGCAGCGCAAGUCUGGAGUGAAAUCCCAUGGCUUAACCAUGGAACUGCUUUGGAAACUGUGCAGCUAGAGUGCAGGAGAGGUAAGCGGAAUUCCUAGUGUAGCGGUGAAAUGCGUAGAUAUUAGGAGGACCACCAGUGGCGAAGGCGGCUUACUGGACUGUAACUGACGUUGAGGCUCGAAAGCGUGGGGAGCAAACAGGAUUAGAUACCCCAGUAGUC